CGCCUUGACUCCCCUGGACGACUGGGUUCCCGCCCCCCCCAAACAAAUCUCCCGCCCCGUCGAUGCAACAGGCUCUGGCAGACAGUGAGAAAACCCCGAUCCUUUGCAGAUGCAAAACGUCCCUUUGGCGACUGAAUGGCCCAGAAAAUCCCUCUCUGUUCCUGGUUCCUGGAUCAUGGGAAUUGAGCGGGUGACCCCCGAGAAUUGGCCCUGGAGGGGAGUGAAUGAGUCCAGGCGCAAGGGAAAGCCCCCCACGGGCAGAGAGGCGUCUUCGCGUCCCCCACAGAAAUCCACCAGUUUCCCAGGUCCUUCGUUUUCGACGGCCUCUUCAGUCUGGUGCCUUCCUUCUUUCCCCGAAUGUCCCUUCUGAUUUAAUCCGGAUUGCCUGAUCUUCUGCCCUGGAGGACGCUGGAUAUACUCGGAGCGAUUUCGCCGGACAGUUUGGGAGCCUGGUGAUUGAUUUGGUUUGUUGUUGUUUUUGGCCACUUUAUAUUAAAUCGGGAGAAGACACCGGGCAAGAGUUAA
Molecule: long non-coding RNA, 525 nt
Organism: Sphaerodactylus townsendi
Lineage: Eukaryota; Metazoa; Chordata; Lepidosauria; Squamata; Sphaerodactylidae
Exons: 2
Source: RefSeq, a predicted model, not a curated record